UUAUUGUAGAUUGUCACAUGAUUAGAGCUGUUUACUUCCUGGUUGCACCAUGAGAAGAGGAUGGCUGCAUCAAAGCUCUCAAACAAAAGUUUCACUUUGAGUCAAGUUCUGGAUAUGUUGGAUUUUGGUGACCGCCCACACAAGGCGUGCAACAUUGCAGUUAUCCCUCAGAGAUUAUGAUAGCACCGGUUCCAGAGAUGUUAUCAUUGUGACAAACGCACUACCUAUGCAUGUGAGAAAUGCAAAGUGCCACUGCACAUUGAGUGCUUCAAGAUAUACCAUGGACAGUAGAAAAGGAGAUAAGGGCUGAAAAAGCCAAUAAAAGAAAAAUAGAACAGUCAAUAAAGGGUGAGGAGAAGCAGUACAACGGACUCUAGAAAGAAAAGUUGAUGAAAAAAGGAAAAAUAAUCAAAAUGACUGAAAUGUUUUUGGAAAAGAUAAUCAAUUGAUUCAAGACCUACUGUAUGAAAGUAGGUCUGACUGAUCGUAGUUCAAAAUAGUGAUUCACAGACUAAUUGUGCACUUGGUUCUGAAGCCAACCUCUGAUAUAGAUGUAUAUGUAUACGUGUGUUUGAAUAUAUAUAUACACACACACACAGUUGAAAUCAGGAGUUUACAUACACCUUAGCCAAAUACAUUUAAACUCAGUUUUUCACAAUUCCUGACAUUAAAUCCAAGUAAAAAUUACCUGUCUUAGGUCAGUUAGGAUCAUCACUUUAUUUUAAGAAUGUGAAAUGUCAGAAUAAUAGUAGAGAGAAUGAUUUAUUUCAGCUUUGAUUUCUUUCAUCACAUUCCCAGUGGGUCAGAAGUUUACAUACACUCAAUUAGUAUUUGUUAGCAUUGCCUUUAAAUUGUUUAACUUGGGUCAAACGUUUCAGGUAGCCUUCCGCAAGCUUCCCACAAUAAGUUGGGUGAAUUUUGGCCCAUUCCUAUUGACAGAGCUGGUGUAACUGAGUCAGGUUUGUAGUCCUCCUUGCUCGCACACGCUUUUUCAGUUCUGCCCACAAAUAUUCUAUAGGAUUGAGGUCAGGGCUUUGUGAUGGCCACUCCAAUACCUUGACUUUCUUGUCCUUAAGCCAUUUUGCCACAACUUUGGAAGUAUGCUUGGGGUCAUUGUCCAUUUGGAAGACCCAUUUGCGACCAAGCUUUAACUUCCUGACUGAUGUCUUGAGAUGUUGCUUCAAUAUAUCCACAUAAUUUUCCAUCCUCAUGAUGCCAUCUAUUUUGUGAAGUGCACCAGUCCCUCCUGCAGCAAAGCACCACCACAACAUGAUGGUGCCACCCCUGCGCUUCACGGUUGGAUGGUGUUCUUCGGCUUGCAAGCAUCCCCCUUUUUCCUCCAAACAUAACGAUGGUCAUUAUGGCCAAACAGAUCUAUUUUUGUUUCAUCAGACCAGAGGACAUUUCUCAAAAAGUACGAUCUUUGUCCCAAUAUGCAGUUGCAAACCGUAAUCUGGCUUUUUUUAUGGCGGUUUUGGAGCAGUGGCUUCUUCCUUGCUGAGCGGCCUUUCAGGUUAUGUCGAAAUUUGACUCUUUUUUUUACUGUGGAUAUAGAUACUUUUGUACCUGUUUCCUCCAACACUUUCACAAGGUCCUUUGCUGUUGUUCUGGGAUUUAUUUGCACUUUUCACACCAAAGUACGUUCAUCUCUAGGAGACAGAACGUGUCUCCUUCCUGAGCGGUAUGACGGCUGCGUGGUCCCAUGGUGUUUAUACUUGCGUACUAUUGUUUGUACAGAUGAAUGUGGUACCUUCAGGCAUUUGAAAAUUGCUCCCAAGGAUGAUCCAGACUUGUGGAGGUCAAAAAAAAAAAAUCUGGGGUUUUGACUGAUUUCUUUUGAUUUUACCAUGAUGUCAAGCAAAUAGGCACUGAGUUUGAAGGUAGGCCUUGAAAUAGAUCCACAGGUAUACCUCCAAUUUACUCAAAUUAUGUCAAUUAGCCUAUCAGAAGCUUCUAAAGCCAUGGCAUCCUUUUCUGGAAUUUUCCAAGCUGUUUCAAGGCACAGUCAGUGAAUUAUAAGUGAAAUAAUCUGUCUGUAAACAAUUGUUGGAAAAAUUACUUGUGUCAUGCACAAAGUAUAUGUCCUAACCGACAAGACACCCCCCAAAACAGGUGUGAUUCCGUUUGAGCAGACACAUGCACAUUUGUGGCCUGCUGGAGGUCAUUUUGCAGGGCUCUGGCAGUGCACCUCCUUGCACUAAGGCGGAGGUAGCGGUCCUGCUGCUGGGUUGUUUCCCUCCUACGGCCUCCUCCACGUCUCCUGAUGUACUGGCCUGUCUCCUGGUAGCGCCUGCAUGCUCUGGACACUAUGCUGACAGACACAGCAAACUUUUUUGCCACAGUUCGCAUUGAUGUGCCAUCCUGGAUGAACUGCACUACCUGAGCCACUUGUGUGGGUUGUAGACUCCGUCUCAUGCUACCACUAGAGUGAGAGCACCGCCAGCAUUCAAAAGUGACCAAAACAUCAGCCAGGAAGCAUAGGAACUGAGAAGUGGUCUGUGGUCACCACCUGCAGAAUCACACCUGUUUUGGGGGGUGUCUUGCUAAUUGCCUAUAAUUUCCACCUUUUGUCUAUUCCAUUUGCACAACAGCAUGUGAAAUUGAUUGUCAAUCAGUGUUGCUUCCUAAGUGGACAGUUUGAUUUCACAGAAGUGUGAUUGACUUGGAGUUACAUUGUGUUGUUUAAGUGUUCCCUUUAUUUUUUUGAGCAGUGUAUUUCAAUUUACUGAUUUCCUUAUAUGAACCGUAACUCAGUGAAAAUGUUGCAUGUUGCGUUCAUAUUUUUGUUCAGUAUAUAAUGUAUUUUCUGUAUUACCCUGGUGGAACCUUAAUUGGGGAAGGUGAGCUCAUGGUAAGGGCUGGAGCAGUAUCAGUGGAAUAGUAUCUAAUAAAUCAAACACAUUGUUUCAAUGUAUUUGAUUCUGUUCCAGACAUUAUUAUGAGCCAUCCUCCCCUCAGCAGCCUCCUGUGGUUGUUUGUAUACGAUAUGUUGUAUACUCGGUUUGUUUUUUCUAUAUUGUAGAAUUGCUUUACAAUAAAUAAAUAAAUUUUUAAAAAAGGUAUAAAAGAACACCUAUGACCAGUCAUGCAAGUAUGAUGUCCUGACGAAUGAUGUAUUUUAACCCUGGAUUGCUGAUGCUAUGUGUUGAACAAGGUAGGAGAUUCGAUUAAUCUGGUUUGGGCGCCCAGGUAAGCGUGUUUUGCACCGGGUGAAAAUUGAACAGGACUGCAGUCCAGGCCAAAUGAUUAGCCAAGCAAGGGAAGUUUGCAAUGUAAGCCCCCCAGUCCUAUGAUAGAAAUAAGCUGAAACAUUUUUAUGUAAUUAAUUUCAUUAUUCUUUUGGACAAAUUUCAUAUUCACAAAUGUAAAUUUACAAACAAAACACCACAUUUUCUUACCUUACAAAAAUAAAUUGAACUUUAUUUUAAGACAACUAAAUACUCUACUAAAAAAUUAGUUAGAAUAAUGAGUGUAUGUAUGUCCCUUAAGGUCCUUGUGUAAUGUGAUAUUGUACCCCCUAGCCCAAUUGUCCUUUGUAUAUUAUUUAUAUAUACUUGUGUUCCCACAUGUCCUUCCUGUAUUGAUUUGUUGUUAAUAAAAUAAAAUACAAAUGUAAAAAGUAA
Molecule: long non-coding RNA, 3623 nt
Organism: Salvelinus fontinalis (brook trout)
Lineage: Eukaryota; Metazoa; Chordata; Actinopteri; Salmoniformes; Salmonidae
Exons: 2
Source: RefSeq, a predicted model, not a curated record